UACCAGCACCCCGAGUGGUCGGGACGUUUAUUGGGCCUAAAGCAUCCGUAGCCGGUUCUACAAGUCUUCCGUUAAAUCCACCUGCUUAACAGAUGGGCUGCGGAAGAUACUAUAGAGCUAGGAGGCGGGAGAGGCAAGCGGUACUCGAUGGGUAGGGGUAAAAUCCGUUGAUCCAUUGAAGACCACCAGUGGCGAAGGCGGCUUGCCAGAACGCCCUCGACGGUGAGGGAUGAAAGCUGGGGGAGCAAACCGG
This 253-nucleotide ribosomal RNA is filed under the name uncultured bacterium. Its description in RNAcentral is "partial 16S ribosomal RNA". It matches the Rfam family "Archaeal small subunit ribosomal RNA", at positions 474 to 727 of the family's 1478-position model. The record is from RNAcentral.